Molecule: ribosomal RNA, 567 nt
Filed under: Boana xerophylla
Lineage: Eukaryota; Metazoa; Chordata; Amphibia; Anura; Hylidae
Description: partial 16S ribosomal RNA
Rfam family: Bacterial large subunit ribosomal RNA
Source: RNAcentral
CGCCUCUUGAAAAAUAUAAGAGGUCCAGCCUGCCCAGUGACCUAGUUCAACGGCCGCGGUAUCCUAACCGUGCGAAGGUAGCGUAAUCACUUGUUCUUUAAAUAAGGACUAGUAUGAAUGGCACCACGAGGGUUUAACUGUCUCCUUUUUCUAAUCAGUAAAACUAAUCUCCCCGUGAAGAAGCUGGGAUUUUUUUAUAAGACGAGAAGACCCUAUGGAGCUUUAAACUAUUUUACACCUGCUGCCCACAAACCAACUUCCAGAAAUUAACCCUAAAGCAUAGCACUUUGAUUAAUAGUUUUUGAUUGGGGUGAUCGCGGAGUAAAAAAUAACCUCCACGACGAAAGGAUUUUUCCUGAGCCAUAAGCCACAGCUUUAAGCACUAAUAUUAUUAACGGCUAUUGACCCAAUAAUUUUGAUCAACGAACCAAGUUACCCUAGGGAUAACAGCGCAAUCCACUUCAAGAGCUCCUAUCGACAAGUGGGUUUACGACCUCGAUGUUGGAUCAGGGUAUCCUAGUGGUGCAGCCGCUACUAACGGUUCGUUUGUUCAACGAUUAAAACCCU